This 78-nucleotide ribosomal RNA is filed under the name Beta vulgaris subsp. maritima. The record is from RNAcentral. Lineage: Eukaryota; Viridiplantae; Streptophyta; Magnoliopsida; Caryophyllales; Amaranthaceae.
GGAUCCCAUCAGAACUCCGCCGUUAAGCGUGCUUGGGCGAGAGUAUUACUAGGAUGGAUGACCUCCUGGGAAGUCCUC